UUCUGGUAAUGCUAGUUUGCACGAAAGGUGCUGGAUGGCUGAAAUGCUCCUUCCUUUGGAUCACCUGGAUUCUUUCGGAUUAAAGGAUGGAAUAAGAGGAGGAGAUGGUGGUGUAGGAAGUAUGGAACAAGACUCUCUUAUUUUGUUCUUCUCAUAAAAGUCUAGAGUCGAAAUCCUAAAACCCCAUCCUAGGACUCACACCCA
Molecule: long non-coding RNA, 204 nt
Filed under: Elaeis guineensis (African oil palm)
Lineage: Eukaryota; Viridiplantae; Streptophyta; Magnoliopsida; Arecales; Arecaceae
Description: long non-coding RNA (EGUI_LNC045502)
Source: RNAcentral